RNAcentral lists this ribosomal RNA (273 nucleotides) under uncultured bacterium. RNAcentral's name for it is "partial 16S ribosomal RNA". It matches the Rfam family "Bacterial small subunit ribosomal RNA", at positions 85 to 354 of the family's 1533-position model. The record is from RNAcentral.
CCGCCGGCGACCGGCGCACGGGUGAGUAACACGUAUGCAACCUGGCCGUGACAGAUGGAUAACCGGGAGAAAUCCCGCCUAAUACAACAUAAUGCCGGGAGGGGACAUCCCCUGCCGGCCAAAGGGGGCGACCCCGGUCACGGAUGGGCAUGCGGCGCAUUAGGUAGUUGGUGGGGCAACGGCCCACCAAGCCGACGAUGCGUAGGGGUUCUGAGAGGAAGGUCCCCCACACUGGUACUGAGACACGGACCAAACUCCUACGGGAGGCAGCAG